Molecule: unclassified non-coding RNA, 449 nt
Filed under: Hevea brasiliensis (rubber tree)
Lineage: Eukaryota; Viridiplantae; Streptophyta; Magnoliopsida; Malpighiales; Euphorbiaceae
Source: RNAcentral
AUUGAAGAACCACCUGGAUUCAUUAUUGGAACAAAAUGCUUCAGUAAGGAAAUAAAUGAGUAACUUGAUGCAGAGAUGGCGGCAAGAUAUCCAUACCUUGAUGUCUCCAGAAGAGGUUUGCUAACCUCUGGCCCAUUUGCAAGUGAGUGCACAAGGAUGUCAAUGCUGCCAAAAUCCUGCUUCACGGAUUCAACUAGGUCCUGAACAGUCCAUUUGGAGGCCCCUGAAUACCGUUUGUUUGUUUUUACAUCUUCAGGAACAUCCUCAGGACUGUCAAAAACUGCAUCCAUUGGAUAAACUUUGGUAAUUUCCAUUAAUGAACCAUCUGGCAAUACGCGUGAUUCAUCAAAUUUCCCACGCCGUAAACUGCUUUCAAAUAUGUUCAGUGCAGGCACCCAUGUACCAACAACAAUCUCAGCACCUGCAGCAGCAAGAGACUUUGCAAUUGC